GUGGGGAAUAUUGCGCAAUGGGCGAAAGCCUGACGCAGCGACGCCGCGUGAGCGAUGAAGCCUUUCGGGGUGUAAAGCUCUGUCGAGAGGGAUGAUAAUGACAGUACCUCUAGAGGAAGCCACGGCUAAUUACGUGCCAGCAGCCGCGGUAAUACGUAAGUGGCGAGCGUUAUCCGGAUUUACUGGGCAUAAAGAGCACGUAGGCGGUAGUUUAAGUCAGAUGUUAAAUCCCACAGCCUAACUGUGGUCCGCAUUUGAUACUGAAUUACUAGAGAUCAGGAGAGGGAAGCGGAACUCACGGUGUAGCGGUGAAAUGCGUAGAUAUCGUGAGGAACACCAGUGGCGAAGGCGGCUUCCUGGACUGAUUCUGACGUUGAGGUGCGAAAGCGUGGGGAGCGAACGGG
Molecule: ribosomal RNA, 404 nt
Filed under: uncultured bacterium
Lineage: Bacteria
Description: bacterial SSU rRNA
Rfam family: Bacterial small subunit ribosomal RNA
Source: RNAcentral